RNAcentral lists this long non-coding RNA (2383 nucleotides) under Equus caballus (horse). RNAcentral describes it as "lncRNA (ENSECAG00000057006.1)". The record is from RNAcentral. Lineage: Eukaryota; Metazoa; Chordata; Mammalia; Perissodactyla; Equidae.
AUACAGAAGCCUGAAAAUGAAAGAGAACAUAUAUGUAUUCUAGGACCUGAGAAGUUCUCUUUGGCUGGAAUAAGUUAUAAGUUGGAGUACUAAAAUACUAAGCUGGAGUUCUGAGCAGGGUCCUUUUCAAGCAGUGUCUUGAAAGUCUUGUUAAAGGGUUUGGGGCUUACACUGAGGGAAAAAAGGAGCCCCUGAAGAAUUUUAAGCAGGAUGAGACUUGGAGGGUCGACAUAAUCAGACUUGCCUUUUUGAAAGAUGAUUUUAACUGUGAAGAAUGGGUGAUGGAGAAGAUUGGAAGCAGAGAGACAGUUAGUUGUAGGCUGUGAGUAAUUCAGGUGAGCCCUAAACUAGCUAUCUGGCAGUGGAGAUGGAAAAUAAGUCAAAUUGUAGAGAUUUGGAAAGUAUAAUAGACCGAUAAUUGAGGCCAUGCGGUCACCUAAGGCAUGUUUUAUAUGGCACCUGGUGAAUAUUAAGAGAGGGAGAAAUGAAUAGAUUAUGGAUAGAUGAGAGUGAGUUCAGUUUGGGGAUAUGUUGAGUUUAAGGUACCUAUGGAAAAUUAAGGUGCAGAUGUCCAUGGUUCUGGUGUCAUGAGAAAUACCUAGGCUGCAGGUAGAAUCUGUAAGAUCCAUCAGGAAUCAUGUCUGUUUUCUUCAUCACUGAAUAUGCCUGGGACAUAGCAAGCCCCCAGUAAACAACCGUCAAAGUUGAGCUACUACCAUAGUAGUUGGUGACUAAAACAGUGUGCGAGUAUGAUACUCCCUAGGAAAUUUAUAGAAUGAAAAGAGUAGAAUACUUAUGAUAGCAAAGGAAACCACAUUUAAGGAGUAGGGGGAAAAAAAGACUCCACAAGAAGACUGUGGGUUAGUCAUGGAGGAAAGCCAGCAGAGCUAUAAUGGAAGACAGGAGAAAGAGGUUUCAAGAAGGGGUGUGAGGUAUCAGUGGUAUCAAGCAUUAGAGCAAGAGAUGAAAUAAAGUGGCCAUUGAAUUUAACAAUAUAGAAGCCAUAGAUGACCUUGGUAAGAGCUAUUCAGCAAGAGUACAGUGGGUUAGAUGAAUGAUUGAGUAUAGUCUGUUCUUUCAAGAAAUUUGACUUUGGCUUUUCUUUAGGUUAUGCAGAACUUAUGGUGAUGAAUAAGCAAGUAAAACUUCAGAACAGGACUGCUAAAUUAUCUUUUCUAGGUGCAUCUGUCUACAUCAUGGAGAAAGCAUGAGUUUUGGCCGUGGGGCAGACUUUGGUUUGAACUGGUAAACUUUGAUUUACUAGUUACCUGUAUGAAUUCUCUUGAGUUCCACUUUAUUUAUGAAAUGAGGAUAGUCAUAUCCAGUUCAUGGAAUUAAUAUGAACACAAGAUUAUUUACAGCACAGGGUUGUCACAUAGUAAGUUCUCAACAAACAUUUAGUUUCCUUUUUCCUAUUCUUCCUACUAUUGCCAUGAAAAGGGCAGGUUAGAAAUGUAAUCUCUCCCUUUUCACUGAUGAGAUGAGAAAAUACUUCAGUACAGAACCCCAAAGCUUUUAAAUUUAUCCUUAACUCUUAAAUAUUUAGCUUGUCCUUCACUAAUUUAAUUGAUCCUUAGACUUCUAGACUCAAACACCUGUAUUAGGCUCUAGUUUUUUAGGGAAUAGCAAAUGCCGAAAUGAAUUGGUGGGAUACAAUACCUAAUGUAAGAUUUUGUCUCAAGCUUUUCCUUUUCAUAUUACCUGGCCUCACGUGGUGGUAAAUGUAUCACUAUUCUUUCUUUUAUAAAGAUGUUACUGUUGGUGAUGUGGAAAGGCAAUACAUAGGGACAUCUGUUUCUGACAAUAUGGCAGACUGCAUGCCCUGAGGAACCCUCCUAUUGGUAUAAAAGAUCUGAAAUGCUGGACAAGAUUCAUUUAAAAGAAAAGUCUUUAAACGUUCAUUGCUGAGCUAGCGAGGAAGAAAGAUACCCUAUCACCUGUAGCAUUUUUCCCAAAAGUAUUUGACCUGAACCUAAUCAUGUGGAAUAAUUAGACAAAAGUGGAAUAUAGGACAUUUACAAACAUGCCUGGUGUGAUUUCUUGAACUGUUGUGUAAAACAGGUGGUGAGACUGUUCUAGAUCAAACAGCAACAUGAAAUGCAUGAACUUAGAUUUGAUCUUGAAUUAAAUAAACUCAACCAUAAAAGACAUUUUAGGGACAUCUGUGGAAAUUUGUAUAUGAACUCUUACAUGAUAUGGAGUAUUUAAUUUUCUUAGAUGUGAUAAAGGUUUUGUGCUUAUAUGGAAGAAUGUCCUUUUUCUUAUGAGGUCCAUUCUGAAAUAUCUAGGGAUGAAGUGUCAUUCUGUUCUUUCAAAUGGUUAGGCAAAAUGUGUAUGUGUAUAAAAUAUGUAUGAGAGAGAGUGCAAAUGUGGCAAAGUAACA